UGCAAGUCGAGCGGCAGCACGGGUACUUGUACCUGGUGGCGAGCGGCGGACGGGUGAGUAAUGCCUAGGAAUCUGCCUAGUAGUGGGGGAUAACGUUCGGAAACGGGCGCUAAUACCGCAUACGUCCUACGGGAGAAAGUGGGGGAUCUUCGGACCUCACGCUAUUAGAUGAGCCUAGGUCGGAUUAGCUAGUUGGUGAGGUAAUGGCUCACCAAGGCGACGAUCCGUAACUGGUCUGAGAGGAUGAUCAGUCACACUGGAACUGAGACACGGUCCAGACUCCUACGGGAGGCAGCAGUGGGGAAUAUUGGACAAUGGGCGAAAGCCUGAUCCAGCCAUGCCGCGUGUGUGAAGAAGGUCUUCGGAUUGUAAAGCACUUUAAGUUGGGAGGAAGGGCAGUUACCUAAUACGUGAUUGUUUUGACGUUACCGACAGAAUAAGCACCGGCUAACUCUGUGCCAGCAGCCGCGGUAAUACAGAGGGUGCAAGCGUUAAUCGGAAUUACUGGGCGUAAAGCGCGCGUA
RNAcentral lists this ribosomal RNA (524 nucleotides) under Pseudomonas protegens. Its description in RNAcentral is "bacterial SSU rRNA". It matches the Rfam family "Bacterial small subunit ribosomal RNA", at positions 56 to 573 of the family's 1533-position model. The record is from RNAcentral. Lineage: Bacteria; Pseudomonadati; Pseudomonadota; Gammaproteobacteria; Pseudomonadales; Pseudomonadaceae.